Molecule: ribosomal RNA, 252 nt
Filed under: uncultured bacterium
Lineage: Bacteria
Description: partial 16S ribosomal RNA
Rfam family: Bacterial small subunit ribosomal RNA
Source: RNAcentral
UACGGGGGAUGCAAGCGUUAUCCGGAUUUAUUGGGUUUAAAGGGUGCGUAGGCGGGCUUUUAAGUCAGCGGUAAAAAUUCGGGGCUCAACCCCGUCCGGCCGUUGAAACUGGGGGCCUUGAGUGGGCGAGAAGAAGGCGGAAUGCGUGGUGUAGCGGUGAGAUGCAUAGAUAUCACGCAGAACCCCGAUUGCGAAGGCAGCCUUCCGGCGCCCUACUGACGCUGAGGCACGAAAGUGCGGGGAUCGAACAGG